GCUUGCUGGUAUGAUUAGUGGCGAACGGGUGAGUAAUGCUUAGGAAUCUGCCUAUUAGUGGGGGACAACAUUCCGAAAGGAAUGCUAAUACCGCAUACGUCCUAUGGGAGAAAGCAGGGGAUCGCAAGACCUUGCGCUAAUAGAUGAGCCUAAGUCGGAUUAGCUAGUUGGUGGGGUAAAGGCCUACCAAGGCGACGAUCUGUAGCUGGCCUGAGAGGAUGAUCAGCCACACUGGGACUGAGACACGGCCCAGACUCCUACGGGAGGCAGCAGUGGGGAAUAUUGGACAAUGGGCGAAAGCCUGAUCCAGCCAUGCCGCGUGUGUGAAGAAGGCCUUUUGGUUGUAAAGCACUUUAAGUGGGGAGGAAAAGCUAAUAAUUAAUACCUAUUAGCCCUGACGUUACCCACAGAAUAAGCACCGGCUAACUCUGUGCCAGCAGCCGCGGUAAUACAGAGGGUGCAAGCGCUAAUCGGAAUUACUGGGCGUAAAGCGAGCGUAGGUGGUCAUUUAAGUCAGAUGUGAAAUCCCCGGGCUUAACCUGGGAACUGCAUCUGAUACUGGGUGACUAGAGUAGGUGAGAGGGAAGUAGAAUUCCAGGUGUAGCGGUGAAAUGCGUAGAGAUCUGGAGGAAUACCGAUGGCGAAGGCAGCUUCCUGGCAUCAUACUGACACUGAGGUUCGAAAGCGUGGGUAGCAAACAGGAUUAGAUACCCUGGUAGUCCACGCCGUAAACGAUGUCUACCAGUCGUUGGGUCUCUUGAAGACUUAGUGACGCAGUUAACGCGAUAAGUAGACCGCCUGGGGAGUACGGCCGCAAGGUUAAAACUCAAAUGAAUUGACGGGGGCCCGCACAAGCGGUGGAGCAUGUGGUUUAAUUCGAUGCAACGCGAAGAA
This 894-nucleotide ribosomal RNA is filed under the name uncultured Moraxella sp. Its description in RNAcentral is "bacterial SSU rRNA". It matches the Rfam family "Bacterial small subunit ribosomal RNA", at positions 78 to 968 of the family's 1533-position model. The record is from RNAcentral. Lineage: Bacteria; Pseudomonadati; Pseudomonadota; Gammaproteobacteria; Moraxellales; Moraxellaceae.